Molecule: long non-coding RNA, 2298 nt
Organism: Herpailurus yagouaroundi (jaguarundi)
Lineage: Eukaryota; Metazoa; Chordata; Mammalia; Carnivora; Felidae
Exons: 2
Source: RefSeq, a predicted model, not a curated record
CCUUUGGUCAGAAUCAGUCCUUUGGUGAAAGAAAGAACCGCAGGAGUUGAGUUUCGGUUUGGUCCUGCUGAGUUCUGGUUUUUCAGUUGUCCAUCCUCACGGUUUUACACCUCGCCGCCUCCUGCUGUGGCCGGGGGGUGGUUGUGUCCUUCCUGGUGGACCAGGACCCCAUCCUCCACGCGUGGGUGAGCCGGGACCUUGCCUUUCCUUCUCGUCCUUGAGGCUUCAGAACGCACAUUGACACCUCAGGCGUGCCAGCCCCAGCCUCAGGUUGGGGUGCUGAGGUCACCUCGCAAAAGACUUGCACUUUCCUCAGAACCAACGUGACGCAACUCAGCAAGGGGCCGGCGGCCGCUCCUUUCCAGAAGCCCCGGCCUCUGUCCGGACGAGUCUUGCCUGACCUCUUCGGUGCUGACCUUCCCAAAGCGAUGCCUUACUGGUUUUGUACUAACCGUGUUCAUUUACAAGUGUUGUGCCUGCCUGGGGUCCAUGUUUUGUUUUCCCCAUCAGCAAACAGGGCUAAAAAGUCAUCUACCCAUUAGGAGGACUCAAGUUGCUGUGACUUUUCUCAUCCAAAAGACUCAUUUGUGUGGAUGUGUGACCAUGAGAAAAAGAAGGAAAAAAAAAAAAAAAGAAAAGAUGCAUUUUUUUUUUUUUAGGUUCUUCUCAGUCUCCAGCUAACACUCUGACUGGACAAUGAUCUGUCUUGUGCAGGAAAAGGCAAAAGUUCCUACAAGUUCACAUGACACUGCUGAUACAUACCCUGCUAGUAUGCGUCUUCAACAUGCUGGUAUUUUCUUUACAGAGAGUGGUAAAUCUUUAAGUUGUUUGUUUCUGCUUUAUAAAAAGAAUCUUUAUUGGACCCCAGUGAGGGUGUCUCUGUUAAUGAUCAGGGUUUUUAUUCGAUCUUUCCCAUUCCUAUUUCUGAAGGUCCAUCUCUAUACACUUUCAUUUUCUUAUCACAAGAACUUGACCUGAAACUGCUCACAUGAUAUUGGACGACACCAUUAUCUUCCUCCUUAAAGGAAAAGGAGAAUGUGUCCCACUAGCUGGUGAACGGAAAACCUCUCCGUGCCGACCUUGCUUUAUUCACCAUAAACUCAGACUCUCUCGUGCGCAGACUUCAUUAGCCAUCUGGGUGUGUGUGUGUCUUGUUCUGUUGUUGUUGUUUUUUUUUUUCCAUAAAAAUUUGAAACCAUGAAUUUAGCCUGUGACCACGGGCCACACCCUGAGCCUUCUGGUAAACCUGAAGAGUGGUCCUUCUCAAUCUGUUUCCCAACGAUGACCUUACACGCUCAUACUGUGAAUUGGGGAGGAGGUAAGAUGGACUUCUCCUUGGGGGCAGUUUUCCCAGUCACCUUACUUCCCUCCCACUGGGUCCAGGCUCAGAACCAAGAUCUCUGUCCCUGGUGCUGCCUGACUAGUGACUGGUGAUUUCAAGUAGCGUAGCCCUUGUGUGAUUCACAACUCCGUGUCCUUCCUAAAGUUUCGGGAAGCAGGGUUGUCUGAUACGCACAAUUCUUAUUUUGGCCAUAUUUUACUUUAGUGUCACUCACCUUUGACAAAGUGACUUUGUACUCAUUUAGGGCUCUGUCCACAAUGCUUCCAUUUUGCCUUUUUCUACAGUUAGGCUAAUCUUGAAAUGUAUGAAAUUCUAUGCAACAUUUAUGUUGAGUUACCAAUGGAAGCCAAAAGUCUUCUUCCCAAACUGCCAAGAAUUAUACAGGCCAUAAAUGAGAGGGGAAUAUCUUUUAAUUUAAAUUUGGGGGUGGGGUAGGGGUGGGACAAGGAACGAGACUUACCUAGACCUUUGUUGUGUCUUGGGGACAUUUUUUAUUUUACUGUUGAUGCUUCAACUUCAAAAUUCUGUGUAUUCAAAUUUGAUCGUGGCGAAUCUACUUCAAAAGGAAAAAAUAAUCCAACUUUGUGGAUAUUAAAUGGAAGGUUUGCUGUUUUAAUCUAGUUUCCAGUGGAGCAGUUUAUGAAAUAUGUCCUAUAAGAUGUACAUUUUUUCAUUGUAACAUAGAAAUUGUAAAUAAUUGAUUAAAGUGCUGCAUUUUGAUGAAUUUUUUCUAGCCAUUUUUAAAGAGAAAACUAGGAAUUGAGUAUUUUGUGUACGGUAUGUUUCCUUCCUCCUUCCCUCCCUCCCUCCCUAUUUAAUUUUCAUUUGUCAUGAGGUUUUUGGAUUUGCCAAUGAUCUACUGGAGAUCAUGCCCCACGUCAUAGAGAAUAAAGCUGAUGAUUGUACCAGUCUUAAAUUAUUCAUGAUUCAAUAAAAUUGAUGCUUAUUUAUUCAGA